This is a long non-coding RNA of Magallana angulata, 277 nucleotides long. RefSeq lists it as uncharacterized. NCBI's taxonomy places the organism in Eukaryota, Metazoa, Mollusca, Bivalvia, Ostreida, Ostreidae. The record is from RefSeq and is a predicted model, not a curated record. The transcript is spliced from 3 exons.
AUCCAUUUUCUCUGUUAAGAGACAAAUAAUCAAAAAUGAAGCCUCAAAAACUGUUACGGUUAAUGGAACAACACAUUUAUUAGAUCAAUAACUCUUCAAGAAGAUAACCCAUGUACAUUGAUGUCACUCUUUAGACAGAACUUGCAGAACAAGAACAACAGAUAGGGAAUUCAAAUCAAAAUCUCCCAUUGUCUGUUGAAUGAGUUGCAAGAUAUGGAACUCUUAAUUCAAAAAAUACAGCCACUUCAAAUUCAAAUUAGUGGACACAUGGAAGCAC